Molecule: long non-coding RNA, 749 nt
Filed under: Homo sapiens (human)
Lineage: Eukaryota; Metazoa; Chordata; Mammalia; Primates; Hominidae
Description: HSALNT0192112
Source: RNAcentral
CGAUUUGAUUGCCUCAACCUCCCAAAGUGCUGGGAUUACACGCCUGAGCCACUGCUGCCUGCCAAAAUAUUUUUUCUCUUAGUAAUUGUCAGUUAAAUUCAAACAAAUUUGUGGAAACUUAAUCCUAUUGAAUUAAAAGAUAACUUCUACAAUUGAAGACCCCAGCAUUUUUGGCCACGUAGAAGAAAUGCUGAAGCAAGCAUAAUGAGUUUGUCUUAUUCCUAUUUUGAGUUGAUUUAAUUUCUUAAUUGAAAUUAAAUUAUUUGAGUUGUUUCUCAGAAAUAAAUAUUUCAGUAGAAAUUACUUGCAAAAUGAAAUGUGAAUUGUAAAACUUGGCCUAAACAAAUCUAAUGAAAACAUGUGAAAGACCUGUGCCUUUUUUUUGGUUUGACCCUGUUAGCAUUGUUAUUAGUUAUCUAUAACAUGGCUUAUUGAAUGUCAUCUACUGCUUUAGGAAAAACGUAUCUAGUGUAUUAUUUUUAAAAUUGUACCUCCCAAGAAGAACACUUUAAUUGAAAGCAACACUAAUAUAGAGCCACUUCCUGAAACCAAGAAUCUGUAGUUUUGAUCCAAAAUCUAAAACUUAAAGUCAGAAAAUAAUUAAAAUUUUUCUUGUAGAAAUUUUAGAUAUUUUCUAGUAUUCUUUAGAUGCUCACAUUGUUUUAAAUAAAAUAGAUGAAAUGGGAAGUUUAGGUAAUCAUCUAGACAGAUGAAAUUAUUAUCUAGGUAGGAGGGCUUUUCUAUACAUU